UACGUAGGGUGCAAGCGUUGUCCGGAAUUACUGGGCGUAAAGAGCUCGUAGGUGGUUUGUCGCGUCGUCUGUGAAAUCCCGGGGCUUAACCUCGGGCGUGCAGGCGAUACGGGCAAUACUUGAGUGCUGUAGGGGAGACUGGAAUUCCUGGUGUAGCGGUGAAAUGCGCAGAUAUCAGGAGGAACACCAAUGGUGAAGGUAGGUCUCUGGGCAGUUACUGACGCUGAGGAGCGAAAGCAUGGGUAGCGAACAGGAUUAGAUACCCCU
RNAcentral lists this ribosomal RNA (267 nucleotides) under uncultured prokaryote. RNAcentral describes it as "partial 16S ribosomal RNA". It matches the Rfam family "Bacterial small subunit ribosomal RNA", at positions 524 to 788 of the family's 1533-position model. The record is from RNAcentral.